Molecule: long non-coding RNA, 383 nt
Organism: Trematomus bernacchii (emerald rockcod)
Lineage: Eukaryota; Metazoa; Chordata; Actinopteri; Perciformes; Nototheniidae
Exons: 3
Source: RefSeq, a predicted model, not a curated record
UUAAUUAAAAAUAUAAUUGUAAAAUGUAAGUCUCCCGCUCUUGUCAUCGUUCAGGCUUUGCAUUUGAACUCCUAUGACUGGUUGCGGACUUGAAGGGAACGACUUCCUGGCCUUGCUGACCUCCAGGAAAAAGGUGUAACAUCUACCAAUGGUUGUACAUGACAUAGACCUCCUCCACCUCUUCGCUGUCCUACUGGUCAACCCUUCUGAUCAGAGCCAUUCCUAAAUAGUGUUUGCUUCAAUAAGUGGCUUCAACACACAGAAAUGCAGGCCAGAUUGGGAAAGGCUGGACGCUACACAACAGGAAACAUUAUGGACAUGAACAAGGAAAAACAAAGAACACUUUCUUUGUUGCCUUUUUCUUAUCAUACAUAGUGUUACUG